Molecule: non-coding RNA, 24 nt
Filed under: Arabidopsis thaliana (thale cress)
Lineage: Eukaryota; Viridiplantae; Streptophyta; Magnoliopsida; Brassicales; Brassicaceae
Source: RNAcentral
AUACAAUUAAAUACUACCACGGGC